AUACGUAGGGUGCGAGCGUUGUCCGGAAUUACUGGGCGUAAAGAGCUCGUAGGUGGUUUGUCGCGUCGUCUGUGAAAUUCCGGGGCUUAACUCGGGGCGUGCAGGCGAUACGGGCAUAACUUGAGUACUGUAGGGGAGACUGGAACUCCUGGUGUGGCGGUGAAAGGCGCAGAUAUCAGGAGGAACACCGGUGGCGAAGGCGGGUCUCUGGGCAGUAACUGACGCUGAGGAGCGAAAGCAUGGGUAGCGAACAGGAUUAGAUACCCUGGUAGUCCAUGCCGUAAACGGUGGGCGCUAGGUGUAGGGGUCUUCCACGACUUCUGUGCCGUAGCUAACGCAUUAAGCGCCCCGCCUGGGGAGUACGGCCGCAAGGCUAAAACUCAAAUGAAUUGACGGGG
Molecule: ribosomal RNA, 398 nt
Filed under: uncultured bacterium
Lineage: Bacteria
Description: partial 16S ribosomal RNA
Rfam family: Bacterial small subunit ribosomal RNA
Source: RNAcentral